RNAcentral lists this ribosomal RNA (515 nucleotides) under uncultured bacterium. RNAcentral describes it as "bacterial SSU rRNA". It matches the Rfam family "Bacterial small subunit ribosomal RNA", at positions 8 to 518 of the family's 1533-position model. The record is from RNAcentral.
AGAGUUGAUCAUGGCUCAGGAUGAACGCUAGCGAUAGGCUAACACAUGCAAGUCGAGGGGCAGCACGGUGUAGCAAUACACUGGUGGCGACCGGCGUACGGGUGCGUAACACGUAUGCAACCUACCCGCUAUUGGGGGAUAACCCGGCGAAAGUCGGACUAAUACCCCAUAUUAUUCUUACCGGGCAUCCGGUAGGUCUGAAAGAUUUAUCGAUUGCGGAUGGGCAUGCGGAUGAUUAGCUAGUAGGUGGGGUAACGGCUCACCUAGGCGACGAUCAUUAGGGGUUCUGAGAGGAAGGUCCCCCACACUGGAACUGAGACACGGUCCAGACUCCUACGGGAGGCAGCAGUGAGGAAUAUUGGUCAAUGGGCGCUAGCCUGAACCAGCCAAGUCGCGUGAAGGAUGACAGAUCUAUGGUUUGUAAACUUCUUUUGCAGGGGAGUAAAGUGCGACACGUGUGUUGUAUUGCAAGUACCCUGCGAAUAAGCAUCGGCUAACUCCGUGCCAGCCGCCGC